Molecule: unclassified non-coding RNA, 282 nt
Filed under: plant metagenome
Description: partial contains small subunit ribosomal RNA, internal transcribed spacer 1, and 5.8S ribosomal RNA
Rfam family: Eukaryotic small subunit ribosomal RNA (bases 1-53)
Source: RNAcentral
GGAAUAAAAGUCGUAACAAGGUUUCCGUAGGUGAACCUGCGGAAGGAUCAUUAUCCAUCUCAAACCAGGUGCGGUCGCGGCCCCCGGGGGCUUGCUCCCGGGUGGUAGGGGUAACACCCUCACGCGCCGCCUGCCUGUACCCUCUUUUUACGAGCACCUUUCGUUCUCCUUCGGCGGGGCAACCUGCCGCUGGAACCAAAACAAAACCUUUUUUGCAUCUAGCAUUACCUGUUCUGAUACAAAUAAUCGUUACAACUUUCAACAAUGGAUCUCUUGGCUCUG